Molecule: long non-coding RNA, 1094 nt
Organism: Strigops habroptila (Kakapo)
Lineage: Eukaryota; Metazoa; Chordata; Aves; Psittaciformes; Psittacidae
Source: Ensembl
UUCUAUCCCAUAAAAUUUUUAUUUUCAAAAUAAAACUUUGUACAGAACAUUGUAGAUCUGAGUAAAUCUAAAUACAGCAGUUUCCGUGAUAUGACGCAAGGGUUUGCUUUUAGCACAGUCCUUUCACACUCUAGCAAUCAGAAGGCAAGACCAGCAAUUAGGAGGGAAAAAAAUAAAUUGCUCUUAUCUGUCAGAACAUGUAUUUCUAGAGUUCCUUCUUCAUGAAAUGUACCUAGAGAGUAGAGCCCUCUCCACCUCAGAUUGCACAGCUAUUCACGCUGUAAAAACAAGGGAAGGACAGGAGAUUUUCAAUAGGACAGAGAUUUGCGAAACAACUGCAAUUCUGAGAUAUAAAUAUCUUUUGUUUCCAAGUUUCUCUCUCCUCCCCUCCCAUACACACCGAUGGAACUCUCAGAAAGGUCUAAACCAUGGAUCAUUAUGUAUAUACACAGUGCAAAUACUGUGCAAGCAGAGAAGUCUAAAGCCAUGCAUUGUUCUAGUGCUCAAUAAAAGCAAGUUGAGUCUUCUGCUAUUCAACUGUACAUUAUUUAUAACAUUGCAUUCUAAACCUUAUACAAAGCUUAUACAGUAGUUUCCAUAACCAAACUAAGCACAUUUAUACACUUGUGCUUCUCUGGAUGCAAUUUUCAUGGCACCUUCUUUUCUGCAUCACUGAGUAUGCAAGAUCCUAUCCACACAGCACAUUAGAAUACUUCAGCUCUAACAGUUUUUGCUGUACUCAUGCUUCAUUAGUAUCACGCAAAAUAUCCUACAACCAUGCAGAUCCAGAUACAAAAAUAUGGCUGGAUUGUUAAGGAGGAGACUGCAGCAUGAACCGCAUUUUUAAGUGCUCACAAAUUGUAUGCAACCCGUUAUAUCUCCCUUUUUAAAAGCCUUUUUUGAUGAGGCAAUUGUUCUUCCUCAUCUGUUGGUACAACCAGGGUGUCUCCUGAGAGUGCUAUCUAUUCACAUUUAUGCUGCUCAAUGCAACUGAAGAAUACCUCACUUUAAGCUGGACUGUUGCUUAGAAAGCCUAUGCCUUUUAGGUUUUUUAGAGGUUAAAAAAAAAAAAAAAAAAAAAAAAAAAAAAAAAA